GUAUGGUAUACACCUGGUGUAACCAUGCAUGCUACAGCUGUGCCAGGAUUCCUGGGGCUGAGCGGAGGGAAGGAGCGGCUCUCCCACGGCUCUUCGCCUCUUCUUAGGCCACUGCCUGAUUCGCAUUUUUAACCUCCGUUUACACCAGUCUCGGCAUUUUUCCCCCAGUUUAUCAUUUUUCUAAGUGUUUUCCAAGUUAUUGGUACAUAGCUGCUCAUAAUUUUUAUACCUUCUUCUCUAUUGUGUUUGUAGUUAACUCUUGUGUAUUUUUUUCUCUCGUGUUUAAAAAAUCAGUCUUGCAAGGUGCUUUCUUGCUUCUUAGUCUUCAAAGAAGGAAAUUUCGGUUUUCUUAAGCGUUCCAUUAUUCUGCACCUGCUGAAUGUAAAGUUUAUACACAGAAAUGUAAGUGUGAGUAUCACUUAUCAUCAGAGAAAUGUGAAUUAAAGCCACGAGGCCGAGUGCAGUGGUUCGCACCUGUAAUCCCAGCACUUUGGAAAGCUGAGGCAGUCAGAUCACAUGAGCUCAGGAGUUCGAGACCAGCCUGGGCAACAUGGCAAAAUCCCAUCUCUACAAAAAGAAAAUACAAAAAUUAGCUGGGCGUGGUGGCUUGCACCUGUAGUUAGCUUCCUGGGAGGCUAAAGUGGGAGGAUUGCUUGAACCCUGGAAGCGGAGGUUGCAGUGAGUCGAGAUGGCGCCACUGCACUCCAACACGGGUGGCAGAGUGAGACCCUGUCUCAAAAAAUAAAAAUAAAAAUAAAACCACAAUGAGAUAUCAUCUCACACCGUCAGAAUGGCUAUUAUUAAAAAGUCAAAAAUAUAACAUGUUGAGGAUGCAGACAAAAGGGAAUGCAUAUACACUGUUGGUGGGAAUGUGAACUCACUUAGCCUGUAUGGAAAAUGUUAUGGUUUUUCUCAAAGAACUAAAAAUGGAACUCCCAUUCCAUCCAGCAAUCACACCACAGGGCACCUGCACAAAUGAAAGGAAUUCAUUAUAUCAAAAAGAUGCUCACACUUAUGUGUUUAUCACAGCACUGUUCACACGAGCAAAGAUAUGGAAUUAACCUGUGUCCAUCAGUGGAUGACUGGAUAAAGAUGUGUGUGGAGGUGUGUGUGUGUGCA
This 1119-nucleotide long non-coding RNA is filed under the name Homo sapiens (human). RNAcentral's name for it is "HSALNT0000721". The record is from RNAcentral. Lineage: Eukaryota; Metazoa; Chordata; Mammalia; Primates; Hominidae.